RNAcentral lists this unclassified non-coding RNA (1437 nucleotides) under uncultured Neocallimastigales. RNAcentral's name for it is "partial contains small subunit ribosomal RNA, internal transcribed spacer 1, 5.8S ribosomal RNA, internal transcribed spacer 2, and large subunit ribosomal RNA". The stretch from base 660 to 1437 matches the Rfam family "Eukaryotic large subunit ribosomal RNA", at positions 1 to 628 of the family's 3401-position model. The record is from RNAcentral. Lineage: Eukaryota; Fungi; Neocallimastigomycota; Neocallimastigomycetes; Neocallimastigales.
UUUCCGUAGGUGAACCUGCGGAAGGAUCAUUAAAAAAUUGGACUCCAUUGGUGAGUUCAUUAAUAAUCCCUACCCUUUGUGAAUUUGUUUGUUUGAAUAAUUUUUUUUCCAAAAAAAAUUAUUGAAUGUCUUUCCUUGUUUUGGUGGAGCUUGUAAAGUGAAACCAGGCAGGGGAAUGGCAAACAAUAAUUAUUUUUGAAAAAGACCUUUUUUUAAAAUUAAACUUUUUGUAUUCAUUUGUCUAAAAUUAAUUUUUAUAAUAUAAAAACAACUUUUGACAAUGGAUCUCUUGGUUCUCGCAACGAUGAAGAACGCAGCAAAAUGCGAUAAGUAGUGUGAAUUGCAGAAUACGUGAAUCAUCGAAUCUUCGAACGCAUAUUGCACUUUUUUAGUUUACUAAAAAAGUAUGUCUGUUUGAGUAUCAGUAAAAUAUUCUCAUAAAAAACAUUGUUUUUUUUAUGGUUAUGAGUGUUUUACAACGAUAACAAGUUGUUUCACUUUAAAUUCUUUGUUAUCAAAAAAAUCAUUAAAAGCUAAUUUUAAAGAUUUUUUAAAAUUGGAUAAAAUUUUCCCGUAAAAAGGAAUAACCUAAACAAUUUUAAAAAAUUAAAAUUGGUUUGAUUUUUUUGAAACCCAAAGGAAAAAAAACGAAAUUAACUUGAUCUCAAAUCAGAUAAGAGUACCCGCUGAACUUAAGCAUAUCAAUAAGCGGAGGAAAAGAAACUAACUAGGAUUCCCUCAGUAACGGCGAGUGAAGCGGGAAGAGCUCAAAUUUGAAAUCUUCAAGGUUUUACCUUGACGAAUUGUAGUUUAAAGAAGUGUUUUCUGUUGGAGUUUUGGUAAAAGUUCUUUGGAAAAGGACAUCGUAGAGGGUGAGAAUCCCGUAUUUGACCAUUAUCUCCAGCUUUGUGAUACACUUUCAAAGAGUCGGAUUGUUUGGGAAUGCAGUCCAAAAUGGGUGGUAAAUUUCAUCUAAAGCUAAAUACUGGCGAGAGACCGAUAGCGAACAAGUACCGUGAGGGAAAGAUGAAAAGAACUUUGAAAAGAGAGUUAAACAGUACGUGAAAUUGUCAAAAGGGAAGCGUUUGACACCAGUGUUGUUUUCUCGAAAAUCAAUUAAAAAAGGCCGGAUUUUGUGUUGUAUUGACUUUAUCAGCUUUCUGCACUCUUUUCUUGUCUUUUUUAAUGCACUUUUCGUUUAACAAGUCAACAUCAAUUUCUUUUGUUGUAAAAGGGUCAUUGGAAGGUGGCUUUCUUUUCGGAGAAAGUGUUUAUAGCCUUUGGCCUCUGCAAUCGGAGAGAUUGAGGUCUGCAGCGUAGAUCCUUCGGGAUUAGAUACAUUUGUGCUAAGUUAUAGCCUUUCAUAGACAACUUGUUGACUAUGAUCAGUCAUGUAGCUUACUCGCUUAUGCUAUUUUACCUACGCUUAGGAUGUUG